This is a long non-coding RNA of Mercenaria mercenaria, 1470 nucleotides long. RefSeq lists it as uncharacterized. The record is from RefSeq and is a predicted model, not a curated record. NCBI's taxonomy places the organism in Eukaryota, Metazoa, Mollusca, Bivalvia, Venerida, Veneridae. The transcript is spliced from 2 exons.
UGCAUCCAAAUGAAAGAGGACUUAUUUGUUAUCAUACUUUGCAGGACAAUAUACAUCCUUCAAAAGACUGAACCUAUUUAUUUACCACAACCUGCUGGAACUAGGCCAGUUCAUGUACAGUAGCAAUGUUACUGGGAAGAUUUCUGCUUAAUCUGAAAGGUGUUUGUAUACAAGAUGGGGCAUUGCUUAAGGAUUGCUGUACCUGCUUACUAGUAGUCUGACAGGUGAUUAGACCCACUGCUACGAGUCUGAAAUCAUAUCUCUGUUGUAAUUUACUCAAAUAUUUCAGACUUGUAGAUGUUAUAUUCAAGAUACUGUUGAGAUGUUUUUGGAUGUUACAGUUUAGAUACUGUUGAGAUGUGUGUGUAACAGUUAAGAUACUGUUGAGAUGUGAGUGUUACAGUUGAGAUACUGUUGAUGUGUUCGUGUCACAGUUAAGCUACAUUUUGUAACAUGGAGAUGUGGGUAGUACAGUUAAGAUACCAUUGAGAUUUUAGUAUUACAGUUAAGAUAACAUUGACAUGUGUGUCACAAAUUGACAUACGGGCCUUAUUUUAUCUGUAUUGUAAAUGCAGGUAUUGCAUCAUCUUUUUGUAAAUUUUUGAGUUAUUGAGGUAAAUGUCAGAUUUCACGCAUGAAAUACCUCUCAUGUUUUUCUGUAUUUCAUAACUUAAAUUUCCAUGUAAAUUUCAUUCAAUUCUGUUCAGUAAUAAGAAAGUUGAUAUUUUAUAAACUUCAGUAAUUUAUGUUUUUAUCCCCAAAACCACUAUAAUGGGCCUCAAAUUGUCAAUUUAAAUUCGCGCCAAAGUAGUCAGAUUUCCCGGCUAUAUCGUGAAUCCCGUGAAAAUGACAAUAGUCGGAGCUCACGGCUUAACCGUGAAUCCCAUGAAAUUUAGUAUUUGGCAGGACAUUACCCUUUAAAUAGACUGGACUAGAUAUGCCUUGCGCACACCACCUUCCGACUUUAUAGACGAAUCUAUGUCUGAAUUAUUUUCUUGCUAGAAAUUUAUGCUCGAUCGAGCUUCUUCCGCCAGACGAUUUUACCUGGUGAUGUCAUAACCCGGAAGUACAAUGCCCGAGGUUCACUUGUCUUCACUCGCCUGGAUGUGAUAUUCCCAGCGCAGAGCUUACGUCCCAUGGUUGUGCCGUAAACCGCAAAGACGAUGAUUUUUGUUAUCCUCUGAAGUCAGCUCAGGGAUGCAAUCACCUACCACCAUAGGGAGCCAACACGGAAUCAACGUAUUCACGGUUUAAAGGGACUGGAUUUUGAGAUAUGUUUUGUUUGUGCUACUUAAAGUUCACAAUUACAUUAAAGACCUGUGUCACGUCAGAUUAGAAUGGACUAUAAGAACUUUUGUAUCUAGAGAUACUGAAUUUUUUUUUUCUUUCUGAUAAUCAGUUUUUUUUUCUUUUCAUAUCUAUUCAUUGUUAAUAAUCAUCUUUUGUAAAUAAAUUUGUAAAUAUUGUAAA